UUGAACGAGUCUUCUAUGUGGCUGGAUGUAAACCCCCAAUGGACUUUAGUCUUGAACUUGUAUGGUCUAGGUUAUGGACCAUCCACUUCAUGAUUCAUAACAAUUAUUUAUUUAUUUAUUUAAUUAUUUAUAUAUAUAUAUCGUACCAGUUCCAGCUUUUGAUUUUGACCCCAGGAAAUGUUUCACUUUAACAAUACGGUGUUAAAAUAGAAUAAAAAAUAACAACAUCUAUACAAACAAACAAGAAUAAUAUUAUUAUUUUUUGGCAAAAAACAAUCACUUAAAAAUAUCGCUUUUCCUUUACUUUGUUUUCUUUUUCUCUUCUAAUUUUAUAUAAAAAAUGGUGAUAAUGUUCGCAUAAUAUGAUGUAUGGCCGAGAAGGUACUUUGUGACUGAUUUGAAGUAUGAAAUGCUAUGAUUUGAAUGGCUGCCGGGAUGAAUCAGUUAUAAUUACAACUAAUUUAUAGUAUGUAUCAAGUAAGAUAGUUCGAGAUAUUAUUUAAAUGUUGCAACUUCUUCUUCUUUUUUAACCACAUGUUGCACCUUCUAUAGACUAAAAAUGCUGCAUCGAGAAGGUGCAAAUGAUUAGAACUUAGUUUUGACGAAAUCAUAUUUAUGGACUAAUCAUGCUGUUUACGAUGGUUUCUAUCGGUUCUUGACAUGCACAAAUUGUAGAUCAGCAUAUCUACAAAAUUUGUAAUGAAUUAGUAGAAGUGGUAGAAUUGUAGUAGUCAAUAACCCUUUUUAGCUGAUUUCACUGCGAUCAAUGUGUACUGUCAGAAUUAACCCAACAGCAUUCUGACUCUUACAUUAUCUUCUCAAUGUUAUGUCACUCGUUAGCUUCGAAUUUUUCUGACAUACCUAUAUCCAAUUUGCCCGUUAUUUAACUAAUUUAUCCAAAGGUGUGGGUUACUAAAUAUUAAAUAAUGUGACACAAUGUUGUAAAUAAAUGUGUUAAACCAAGGGUCAGAAUAAAAAUUAAAGGUAAAAUAAGUGGAAAACAAAAUGGUGGAGAAUAAAAAACCACAUAUAAGUGAUGUUAUUUUAACAAGGGUUUUCUGCAAAAAAACCCUCAAUGUGGUUUUUUUUUGCAAAUUAAUCCGCGAACUCAAAAACCCACGGGUCAACCCUCCAAGUGCCAGUCAAACCGCAAUAUAACCCUCGGCCGUAUUUAUGUGUAUUUGACUGUGUAUAAUUUUAACAUUUUUUCAAUACUAGGUCGUUUUGGCGCUAAUUUUUUAAUAAAAAAAAUUUGUUGAACCCCACCUUCAUUGUGCAUUUACGCAAGCUCCCAUGUCCGAGAAAAACAAGGUCAUUUCGUUUUAGAAAUCUAUAUAAUUGCGUUUGUUAAGUAAACAAAUAUAUUUGUUGGCCGAGAUGGUUAUAUAGCAUGCACAUGGUAUUUAAGGUUCAAAUUUUAAACCACGAGUUCAACAAUUUUUUUUCAUUAAAAAAUUAGCGCCAAAACGACCUAGUAUUGAAAAAAUGUUAAAAUUAUACACAGUCAAAUACACAUAAAUACGGCCGAGGGUUAUAUUGCGGUUUGACUGGCACUUGGAGGGUUGAUCCGUGGGUUUUUGAGUUCGCGGAUUAAUUUGCAAAAAAAAAACACAUUGAGGGUUUUUUUGCAGAAAACACUUUUAACAAAAGUGAGAAUAAAACUGAAUUUGUUUUAUUAAGUAAAAUAAAAAUGAAAAGUUAUAUUCUAUUUGGAUGGUAAAUUAUUGAUGAAAUCCUAGAGCACUAGUUUGAGGAAUUUAAAAAUUAGCAAUAUUUUUUUUUCAAAAAUGACCAUCUAUUAUAAUCCAUGAAAACGCAAAACAUCAAAAAUAUAUUAAAAACACAAUGUGAGAAGAUCGCUCGGAGUCUUUUUGUGAUUUAUUGUAACCACAUUUUUCACCACUAACUUUUUUGGGUCUAUAGUGCAACUCUACUACAAACAGAAACACUGUAAUGCAACAUAUUAGGGUCAUUAGCAUAAAUAAAGUUGUGAAAUUUCAUAAAACAAUCACAUGCUUCACGUCAAAUCUUCAUACUGUUACUAAUGUGAUCGUAUGAAAUGAUUUGGUGUCACAACAAACAAAAUCAUUUGAUGUUUAUUGAACAAGAUCUAAAAUAAAAGUAAAUCUGUUGGACACAUCUUGCUAAGAAGAAAAGGAAAACUAAACUAAACUAAUAAGCCAGUAUGAUCUAGGAUUCCAAUAAACCUCCACAAACAAAUCUACUCUCUCUCUUUUUUGUCGUCCACAGCUAAAGUUUAAACCCAUAAUAGAAAAAUAAUAAUAAUUACAGCUCGUGAUUUGAUAUUUUCAUGUCUAUGUGUCUUAAACAUGUUUAUGCUCGUGGUCGGUAUGUCAUUAGUUGUCAUAUGUUUUUUGGUUUCUUUUCGUUAACGUUUGCUAAAUGUUUAAUCUCUUUGAUUAGCAUUCUAUAAAAUAAGUAUUAAUCAGUAAACACACAAAAAAAUGGUCCUGAGAUAGAGAAGAAACGGGAUGUGGUGUAAAUAACGGUGGGACGGGAAAUGUAGAGUAGGGAAGGGGCAUGUGAUUAGCUGUCCUCUUCUCUCUGCAUUUACUCUUUGUGUGCCUUAGGCCCAUUUCUCUUCCCUCACUCUUGUUUUUCACUAUUUUCUCAUUUUAAAUUAUAAUUUUCCAAUUUAUGAAAAUAAAUAAAGUUAUAUAAACCUCGUAUAAUCACUAAAGAAAUUCAACUUUGAGCGUUGCGUAUGGUUGUUAUUCCAUUAUAUAUUUUUGUGGGCCUUUGAAGCGAAAGAUGUAUAGAUUGUGUUAAUCAUCAUCUUCUUGAAAGUAUAUGUGAUUUGAUAUGUUGGAUGGUUAAAUCGGUUAAUUGAUGGUUUAGUUUUGUGAUGUGAUACUCACACUUUGUAAGAGCUUUAUACUGUUUUAUUACACCGAUUUAUUCAAUAUUAAAAAACUCUAAAGUAACAGUCCUAAUGCUUCAUGUAUAUAAUCUGUACGUGGGCUCAAAAAUAAUCCAAGAACCUUAACUAUAAUAACCUAUGUUAUACAUGGAAACGGAAGCGGGUACGUGGAAUCGGAAGCGUAAAGAAACGCAGAAGCGAGAUUUUUUAAAAUAUUAGGAAGUAGGUACAUGUUGGAAGCGUAUAUCUAUAUAUAUAAUUAGUACUAAAAAUUAUAUGAUGUAAAUUUGAAAUAAAGCAUUUAUUCAUUUAUAAUAAUUUUGAAAUGAUUUUAUAUUAAAACUGUAAAAAUACCCAUAAAUUAAGUUUACAAAAAAUAUUAUAUUAAUUAUUUUCAAUACUUCAUAAAUAAUUGACACAAUAUAUUUCAAUAUGUGCUAUAUCUUUAAUAAAAAAUCUCAAUGUAUAAAGAUAAUUUAUAGUAUUAUUUUUUGUAUAUUUAUAACUCAAUAUUCAUUACAAUUAUUAUUUUUAUUUUAUAUAGAUUAAAACUACGGUUUUAUAUUUUAUUGAUAUACAUUGCAUUUUUUUUUAAAACGGAAGCGUGAUUCCAAAACGGAAUCGUAAGCUUCCAACAUGUUUUUAAAGAUAAUAUUUUAGAAACGUUUUGGAAGCGAGAUUCCGCAAGCUUCCACAAGGUUCUGAUUUCGAUUCCGGUUCCGAAGCGGGAAACAGACGUCCGAUGAAGCUUCCAUGCAACGUACAUAAUAACUAUCUGAAGAAUGUUUUUGACCUUGAACUUGCUUUUACGAACUAUCACAGUAAUUAUUUUGUGAUUUAAGCUGUUAAUUCAUUAUUCUUCAUUAACUGUUUACAUAUAUUAAUAAAAAAUAAAAUAUUUGUAUAAAACCAAAAUAAAUUAUGUGAACCAGAAAACCAGCAAAACUAGUGUCGGCAUUUUAUCAGAAGUGUUUUCUUUAAGAACACUUGCCGUAUCAUACAUAAAAAUGUAAUGAAAAUACAAUAUUAAAAUUUUCUGUUAAUAAAUAAUAAAUCGAUGAUCAAGGAAAAUUAAAUAACUGGAACAAUAGCAGUAUGCUACACGCCUUUCUUUUAUUAAACAGAAACUCUAAAAUCAAAUUCAAUUUAUUAUGGUCUCCUAAGCAAAACAUAUGGCCACUUAAAUUAUUGUCAAUUUACAAAUCAUAUACCUUCUAUAUUGUCGGAAAUUAAAAUGUAAUUAAAUAUUGAAAAUCUAAUAAAAAAAUUAAACAAGUUUUCAGCGCCUACAAAGUGCAAAGAGGCAAUGAAGUUAAACAGAGCGAAGAGAAAAAAAGAAGGUAAAAACAAAACAAAAUAAAAUAAAAGUUUGUUCUCUCUCUCUCUCCAUUGAUUUCUACACACAGCCAUCACCGAACCUCCAACACACUUCUCUCUCUCUCUCUCUCUUUGCCUUUCAUCGGAUCUGACUUCUUCCCGAAAACCCACAAUCUGAUUCUUCGAAUUCUUCAAAAAAACACGCUUAAUCCCCACAAAAGUUUCCAUCUUUGACUUCACAAAUUGUUAUUAAUUCCCCAAAAAAGUCUGCGCCUUUCUGUUUGAUCGAAAUCACCGGCGGAGGAAUUUUCCGAUGGGAAUGCCUUCGCUGGCGUCACCAAAGCUGCCAUGAGCAACCACCGCGAGGAAGAGGAGGAGGAGGAGGAGCCCUUCCACGACUCUCUUGAUCGCUUAGUCUCUUCCUCUUCUUGCUCAUGCUCCGCUUCCAACUCCGAUUACGACUCCGAAUCCUCCCCUCGGAUCUCCUCUCAUGACCCCGAAGAGCCAGACGGUGGUGGUGGUCCCCGCCGUCGUCACCACCCAUUCCCCGUCCCUCGGUUCCCAAUGGGCGCUUCAAGGUUCGACCUUUGGAUCUCCGAGCCCGCCUCCGUCUCCGAGAGACGCUCUAAGCUUUUAACCGAAAUGGGCCUAAACCGAGAACCGGUUCGCUCCCGGUUAAAGCCCGUUUCCGAUUCCGGUUCUGACAUUUCUCGAUCGAUCUCGUGUAAUCAGUUGGUCCGGCGAGAUCACGGAGAUUGCUCCGAAACUGUCGGCGGCAGCGCUUCCUUCGUCGUGAGAUCGAAGUCAGAUUGUUCCGUUAGCCAAUGCAGCGAUCGUGACCGUCUUUAUCAUCAUCCUCCUCAGGGUAAUUCAUGUUCUUGUUUUGACUCUAAGCUCUCGCAUUCAGAGAUCAGUAUAACAGUUAGUGCUGAUUCAACUGAUCCCUUGCGGUUAGAAGGAAGUUCUGAUUGUGUGUUAGUGGAUGAGGAAGUGGAAGUGUGUACUAUUAAGAAUCUAGACAACGGGAAACAGUUUGUGGUGAACGAGAUUCAAGAAGAGGGUAGUACAUGGAAACAGGUGAAGGAAGUGGGGACCGACACGCAGAUGACAAUGGAGGAGUUUGAGAUGUCUGUGGGACACUCUCCCAUUGUUCAGGAGCUUAUGAGAAGACAGAACGUGGAGGAUUCUGAUAACAACGACAACGCAUCAACCAAAACAACAAAGGAUGAUGAAGAGAGUAAAUAUAAUAAUAAUAAUAAUAAUGCAUCAAAGUCUAAGAAGAAAGGAAGCUGGUUCAAGAGCAUCAAGAGCGUUGUGACUGGUCACAGCAAAGAGAGACGAAGCAGCGACGAUAAAGACACGUCAUCGGAGAGAGGCGGUCGGAGGUCGAGCUCAGCUACGGAUGACUCUCAGGAAUCUUCUUUCCACGGGCCGGAGAGAGUUAGGGUCAGACAGUACGGGAAGUCUUCCAAAGAGCUCACGGCGAUGUACAAGACGCAGGAGAUUCAAGCGCAUAACGGCUCUAUCUGGAGCAUUAAGUUUAGUUUGGAUGGUAAGUAUCUCGCUAGCGCCGGCGAGGACUGCGUCAUUCAUGUUUGGCAAGUGGUUGAGGCUGAGAAGAGAGGAGAGUUGUUGCUGGAUAGACCGGAGCUGUUGCUUUUGGCUAAUAGUAAUGGAUCUCCGGAACCGACUACUAUGUCGCCGAGGAGAAGAGGGAGGAGUUCUGUGAGUAGAAAGUCGUUGAGUUUGGAGAACAUAUAUGUUCCAGAUUCUGUUUUUGGGCUCUCGGACAAACCCUUUUGCUCCUUUCAUGGUCAUCUGGAUGAUGUUCUUGAUCUUGCUUGGUCCAAGUCUCAGGAUUUGCUGUCUGCAUCGAUGGAUAAGACAGUUCGUUUGUGGAGCUUGUCUACACACACUUGCUUGAAAGUAUUCUCUCACAGUGAUUAUGGUUAGUAGCUAAUAUUAAUUUAAUCUGUUUCUUUCUGUGCUUAUCUAAAUAAUAAUUUGCUCUAUUGAUUGGGACAGUGACUUGCAUUCAAUUUAAUCCGGUUGAUGAUAGAUACUUCAUCAGCGGUUCGUUAGAUGCAAAAGUUCGCGUGUGGAGCAUUCCGGAUCGGCAAGUAGUUGACUGGUAUGAUCUUCACGAGAUGGUCACUUCUGCUUGCUACACUCCAGACGGUCAGGUAAACUAAAUCUGCCAUGUCAUUAUUAUCUGAAGUCAGUAUCUUUUUGGCUUUAAACAGUUUUCUAAUUUUCUAAAGAAUGUGUUGAAACUUGAAGGGUGCGUUGGUUGGUUCAUACAAAGGUAGCUGUCGUCUUUACAGUGCAUCAGGUAAAUGAAUGAAGUUUGUUAAUGUGAUUUUGAUUUUUUACCGUUUCCUAAUGCGUUAACAUUAAGUGACGUGUUGUUUUAUUUUUCCCCAGAUAACAAGCUGCAACAGAAAAGCCAGAUAAAUUUACAGAACAAGAAGAAGAAAGCUCAUCAGAAAAAGAUAACUGGUUUCCAGGUAAUGAGAGAAUCUCACUUCUUCAGGAGCAAAAUCUGAGGGGCUUUGUUCAUGAGACGGCACUAAAAGUUGCUUGCUUGUGUCUCAUUUCAUCCCAUAGUUUGUGCCUGGAAGCUCAUCUGAAGUGCUAGUCACAUCUUCGGACUCUCGGAUCCGCGUUGUUGAUGGAACUGAUCUAGUUACCAAACUCAAAGGUAAAACAAAAACAAACAAAGUUUCAAGCUUUGUCUUCUGUUUACUUCAUUCGCAAGCAAAAGUAAUCAAUCGUUUUUUUCACUAUUUGACAGGGUUUCGAAACACGAGCAGCCAAAUCUCCGCCUCAAUAACAGCAGACGGCAAAUACGUAGUGUCAGCGAGCGAGGAUUCAAACGUGUACAUAUGGAAGUACGAAUCCCCUGCUUCUCGACCAAGCAAGAGCAACAGCAGCAGCAACAAGAACGUCACAGUCACAAACUCGUACGAGCAUUUCCACAGCCAAGACGUCUCCGCAGCCAUCUCAUGGCCCGGGAUGGCCUCAACAGAGUCUUGGGGAGCCACCCAAAACAGAGCCAACAACUUAGACGAAGUCUCCACAGCUAACCAUCCACCCACACCUGUGGACCAGCCAGGGACAACAACUCUGGACCGACUCAACAGUCCACGUAACGGGAUCAUUUCGAGCGCCACAAACGGAUACUUCUUCGAUAGAAUGUCAGCGACUUGGCCUGAGGAGAAGCUGAUGUUUGGGAGGAACAGAAGUGGGAACCGUCUGAGUACGGAUUUGUCUAACUCAGGGAACGUGUCGGCUUCUUGGGGGAUGGUGAUAGUCACUGCAGGUUUGAGAGGAGAGAUUAGAGCGUUUCAGAACUUUGGUUUGCCCAUAAGGAUUUGAUAUUAUAAAAAAAAAAAAAAAAAAUAAAAAAGUGUACAGAGUGAUGGUAAAGAAAAAAAUCGAGUGAGGUUUGCAAUAUUACUAGCAAGUUUUUUUUUCUUCAUUCGAUUUUUUUUUUUGAAGAGGGUAUACUGAUCUUUUUGUAGAGUUUACAGACGCGAACAGUUUUUUUUUGUAGUUGAACCUUAGGCCCAUUUAAACUUCGGCCCAUCUUGUAAUUGCGGAACGUUGUCGUUUUGGUGAUCGUGAAGUGAGUUAAAGGCAGCUUUGUCUUUUAGGUUUGACUCUGUCCUAAAACCCUAGAAAGAGUUUAGCGCUGUUUCUGCAAUAGACGAAAAAAGAAUGGGGAGGAAGAGAAAGCACAGCGAGGCUGAAGCGGCGGCUCCGGUGAAGAAGGAUGACUCUGCUCCGGAGAGACCCAAGAGAACUCUGUUAGGUUGGAAAGAUAAGAAAGAAGAUGUUGAGGAAGCUAAGGAAGUGUCUGCUCCGUCUGCGCCUGGGUUCAGGAAUAAAGAGAAGGUUCUCGUUACUUGUUCCCGUCGGAUUAGUUUCAGGUGAAGCGAGUUGAGAUUUGAUUUUGAAUUUUAAUUUCGUUUGAUGGUGUAGAAGAAUAAUAAUAAUAAAUCAAGUAUCUGUUUGUAAAGGUACCGGCAUCUGAUGUUGAACAUAGUGUCACUUCUGCCUCAUUGUAAGAAAGAUAGUAAGGUGGAAGCUAAGAGCAGUAAAGGCGCCACUCUUAAUGAGCUUGUUGAGCUUAAGGGCUCUUCUUCCUGCUUGUUUUUCGAGGUAAAGUUUCCAUCUUUUGUUGGUACCUCUAGGGUUUGAUGCAUAGAAGAUGGAACAAAUCACUGAACUGAUGGAACUCUUGUGUGGUUCAAAUUCGGUUCAUUUGUUUCUCAGCUUGUAAUGUCACCGUGUCUUAAUUUGCUUGUAUAGAGUAGUAGUAAACUGUGAACUGACGGUAUGUGUUAAUUUUGUUAUGGACUUCAGUGUAGGAAGCAUAAAGAUCUUUACAUGUGGAUGGUCAAGUCCCCUAGUGGACCCUCUGUUAAGUUCUUGGUUAAUGCUGGUAAUUUCUCCAACCCCCUCGUAUUCUGUUUAUAUGUUCUUGUUCGUCUCUUAUGUUUCUGUAUGGUGAAGUUCACACGAUGGAGGAGCUGAAACUCACUGGAAACCAUCUGAAAGGGUCACGCCCUCUCUUGACGUUCUCGUCCAAUUUUGAUAAAGACGUGCACUGGAAACUCUUGAAAGAGAUGUUAACACAGGUCAUUCUCCCAUUUUCAUUCCCUUGUGUUCCUGGUUGGUUAUGGUUUGUACUUCCUUAUGCUAAUUAGUUUUCUCUUGCAGGUUUUUGGAAUCCCAAAGGAACACAGAAAGUCCAAACCUUACCAUGACCAUGUGUUUGCUUUCUCCAUUGUCGAUGACCAUAUCUGGUUCCGUAAUUACCAGGUUGGUUGAAAGUUAGCAAAUCUUAGAGAUCAACUAUAUGACUUGCAGAUUAUAUAUCCUAAUCCUUAGUGAAUGUCUGUUUUUAUGUUCUGUUGCAGAUAUCAGUACCUCAUAAUGAGGCAGACAAGGUUGCGCGAGGUGGUCUUGAUAAAAUGACCCUUGUCGAGGUCUGGCUUUACCUAUUAGUAACAAUAAUUUGCGUAGUUGUGAUUCUUUAGUGUUGAUUGAAAUGAAAAUAUGAUGACAGGUUGGUCCAAGGUUUUGUUUAAACCCGAUUAAGAUCUUUGGAGGCAGCUUUGGAGGUCCAACCCUUUACGAGAACCCAUUCUACGUAUCUCCAAACCAGGUACUGUGUUCUAUAUGCAACUUGAUGAGAAGACAUUUACUGAUGUACCUGUAAAUGAUAUGGUUUUCUGUGUCAAAGUCUUAAUCUUUUUUUUUUUUUUUCAAUUUUGCUCGUCAGAUCCGAACCUUGGAGAAAAGAAAUAAAGCAGGGAAAUUUGCAAAGAAGAUCAAAGCAAAAAGGAGGAAAAAGAUGCAUGAGCUUUCAAACCCAUUGGAGCCUGAUGAGUUUGCAGACAUGUGGAAGGAUGAUGAAUGAUCAAAAGUUCCAUCAAGUUUUUCUUGUUGUAAACUUCCAUAUUCACACAACCAUCACGUUUUUGUCUUUGUACUGCUCUCGACUCUGUUUUUAUCUCUCCCACUUAUGGAUCAAAAGGUGAUAUUUUCUUGCAAUUUAAAGAGUUUAAUAAGUAAAGAGUCCAUCUAAAACUCUUUUCCAAAAUUCACAGAAACAAUACUUUUCAUGUCUUCACUGUUCUUUUUUGUUUUUGACAUCUGUUGAAUUAUAUUAGAUCAUACGAACGUUUCGAAGAACAUUACAAGGCUAUCUCUAGAAGAACAUUAGACAAGGUCCAUCGGAGCUUCCUAAACAGGGUUUCUAAGAAAAAAAAGGAAAAAAAUAAAUGAAAAAGGAAAAGAAAAGAGAGAACCGGUGUUAAAAUUAGGAUUUUAAGGGUCGGUAAGGACCCCUACGUGGCACAUUCUUAUUCUCUCUCUCUCUCUCUCUCUCUCCUUCGUCGUUUUCCAUCUUCUCCAUCGAAAAUCUGUCGAUCUCCUUCUCUGUCGAUUCUCUUUUGAUUCUGAAGUCGAUCGCCAAUCGAUUGGUGUGGCCUCUGAUCCCAUGGCUGCACGUCGAGGAGGCAGGGAACUUCCAAUGGAAGAUGUUUGUUAUUACAAGUGGCCGCUUCCUGGGGCUGAUAAGGUUAGCUGGAGCUGUGAUCUUCUGUUGUUUGUGUAAUGAAUAAUGAUAAGACUUCUCUGCUUAUGCUAACGUAAUUCUAAAUGUAUAUGGUUUCAGUUUGGGCUGUUUUGUGUUUGUGAUGGACAUGGGGGAGCAGGGGCUGCAAACAGAAGCUUGGAUGAUCACCAAUAUGAGGUUCUGAAGCUUGUCUUUUUCUUUCCGUUUCAUGUUUGUCUCCUUUGACAACUUGGCUGCAACUUUUUCAUUGCUUAAUGAACUAGCAUGGUUGUACAGCUACAGUUCUCUUGGUUUGCAAAGACAGUGAAGAACAUUUAUUCGCACAAUGUGCCAAUCUUGGUGAUUCAGCAUAUAAAUUUUUUUGAGCGUUGGACUGUUUUUGUGUUAUGUCGUUGUAACAGCACUACAUCAAACUGAGCGAGAUGGAGAAGAACUGCAAGUUGAAUGACCUUCUUGACGCAUUGGACUUCAAUCAAGUUGUCAUAUUUGUGAAGAGCGUUAACAGAGCUGGGGAGCUGAACAAGUUGCUUAUUGAAUGCAAUUUCCCCUCAAUAUGUUUUCACUCUGGCAUGUCUCAUGAAAAGAGGUUUGUAUAUUAUUUCAUCUGAACCGUCUCGACUUGCUCUUAGAGAUUUUCUGCAGGAGACCAAUUCUUAACCCUUCACAAUGAUAUGAUAUUUAGGCUGACUCACUACAAAAGUUUCAAGGAAGGGCACAAGAGGAUCCUUGUGGCGACAGACUUGGUAGGAAGAGGCAUUGACAUUGAGCGUGUCAACAUUGUUAUCAACUAUGACAUACCAGAUUCUGCUGAUACAUAUCUUCACAGGGUAAAUUUUCUUUUUUUAAAUUCCUAAAAUUUCAUAUGGAUUAUUUUGACUUCCACUUAACAAAGAGAUCUUGUAACAUUACUGUUAUACUCUGUUUAUGGUAUAGGUCGGGAGAGCUGGUAGGUUUGGAACAAAGGGUCUUGCGAUCACAUUUGUGGCAUCAGGUUCAGAUUCUGAAUUCAUGUGUAUGUCUCAGAAUUUUUUUUUUUUAAGAACCUCACUGAGGUUCUACCAUUGGAGGAAGAAAAAUUUAAUUAGACUAACAUGGGUUCUAAACUUUUCAAAUCACAAAAUUAAUUACUAAAUUAUUCAUUAGAACCCUUAAUAGUUUCUAACCAAUGGACUUGCUCUUACAAGGCUAUCUCUAUUAGAUAGAUCAUACGAACUUUUCAUGUGUUCACUGUUCUUUAACUCUGUUUUCUUCUCUCUUAUAUAUGUAUUUUUUUUAGCAACUCUCUCUUAUUAAUUAUUAUAUCAAAAGGUGACUUUUUGUGUUUCUUUUCUAUUUUUGUUGCAAAUUGACUAGUUCAUCUGUAGCUCUUUGCAGUGUAAGAUGCCAAAAAAAAAAAUUUAGUUUCUUUGUUCAUGUUGCAUCAAAGUCAUAUUCACAGAAUCAUCUAACACAUUGUCUUUCUACUGUUGUUUUCUUCUGUCUCUCUUGUGGCUCAAAAAUUGAAAUCUUUUUGUUUGUUUCUUCAUCUAUUUUCCUUGCAAUCUGACAAGUUCAUCUGUAGCUCUAUGCAAUCUAAGAUGCAAUUUAGUCUCUUUAUUGAUAUAGCAUCAAAGGCCUCUAAUUACAUAAAAGAAAGUAAGUAAACGAAAAUGCAACAAGACAUCAGAACAGGAAGAAGUAACAACUAAAAGAGUUUAAAAUAAAAGAAAUUAACGAGAAUUAGCAAGAGCCCAGUUAGCUUCACUUCCUCUCCUAGGAAUGCCAUUAACCUUAGAACAAGCAUCCACUUUGAAAUUAGCUCCACAUAACACACCUUCACUAUCAAUCCUCGGCAUCGCCUUCAUCUCGUUCCUCGGAUGUUCAAAGCUCUUAAGCCCCGUCUCACUGUGAAACAUACACCCUGCAAGAAACACAAAACAUCAAACAAACACUUCAGAUCUAACUCACAAAUGUUAUUUCUUUACACGAAAAAGCUUGUGUGCCUUUGACGGUUUAGGUGGUGGUCUGCGUGCGUUGAUUCGGUUACUAUCAAUUGAUGGUAAUCGCACAACAACAGAUCCAUCGCCAGAGAUCCCCCAGUAAAGACUCUCUCCUCCAUCAGAGCUCAGAGCCGAGAAAACUGAGGAGGUCUGAGUAUCGUAGACAACGAAGGCGAAGCUUCCUUCUAACCCCCUGAGGACUUGAUCAGCAGGGUAAGGACCGCGGUCACGCAGUGUUCGGUAAGCUUCGAUCACGAACAUGGCUUCGCUCGUGUUCUUCCCCGCGAGUCCGUACUGGCGGUUCAACGUGCAGAGAUUGGUUAACGCGCCGAGAAAGGUACAGUAGAUGCCGUCUACACCGCAGAACAGCCUCUGGCGAAGAGGGGUGAUGGGACGGGAGUAGGCUAAGACGGCGGAGUCGCCGAAGGUCAUGGAGAAAGCGGUGUCUUUGUGGAGAGAGAGAAAGUCGGAGAGGGUUUCUCCGGGGAGUUUUGGGUAUUUGCCGGAGGAGUGAGACGCCGGGCUGUUGAGCUCUUCCGGUGGGUGAGCAAAUGCUUUCUGAAAUAUUGCCAACAUCUUUGAGUUUUGGUUUGAGCAAAGUUUGAAUCUUUUGUUCUUUGUUUCGUUGUUGUUGUUGUUGUGGUGGUGAGGAGAAAGUGUUGAUGUAGGAGACUAUUUAUACGGGGUGAUUCCACGUGAUGGUGACUAGGAUUAUUAGAUUUUAGAUAAGACCAUCUUCCGACAUGUCCGACGUGUUCUUAUCCGUUUAUUUUUUUUAAUGAUUCUAUUUUUACCAUUUUGUCAAAAGCUAGUCAAUUAACAACUUGAUUAAAUUCAAUAACUUGUAAGAUUGUCUAUCUUUGUAAUGAUACGAUCUUUUAACGUGCCACGUUAGAAAAAGUACUAAUUUCUUUUUCGCUAACGUUAUAUAAUUGUAGCAUUUUUUAUGGUUUCUGUAAUAUGUUAAUAACAUCUUUUGAUAUAAUAUAUUUCUGUCAAAUCUUGUGGUUCUAGUAGUGGUACAUUGAGAUAUUUAGUAUAAUGUUUUCUUUUAGCAUAAUGUGUUUUUAUUGGCAACUAGCAUUAUUUUAAGUUUUAAAUCAUCUCUUUUCUUUUGUCGUAGCUUUUUUUUUUUUGUGCAACACUGUUUUGUUGUAGCUCUUUUCAAUUUUGUUGUAUGAAAUUAUGUUUCUAUCUAAAACUGCUGUCAAAAAAAUAAUAUCUAAAACUAAUUGAUGUCACGAUGAAAAAGAAAACAAACUCAAAAUAAUAGAAUUCCCCAUUAUAAAAUAAGUAGAUAACAUUAUGAUAAAACGUGAGAUUUCUACUAAUUGCAUCCUUGAUAACUCCCCUUUCUUUUUUAUGUAUUUCGCCGUUGUAACGUUACCGACAUAAUUAAUUACGAAGGGAAAGUUAGAUCAACGUUAAUCAAUUUCUUGUGGAUGUAAGGUUGGAUCCUCGUCAUUCCCAUCAAUUACUCUUUGACUAUGCUCUUUGGAAUUUUCCUUUUUAACACAUCCAAAGAUUCCAAACAAGGAAUGUCUAUUGAUACACAGCAAUUAGGGCUACGAACCAAACCGAAAUGAUCUUCGACUACAAACAUCAAACAUCAACCGGUUUUGAUCCGGUUCAUACAAAAGCGAGCUAAUUUAUUUACCUAUCUUGGAUCAACAAUGUCAACUACGAGAACGGCCAUAAUUGAGAAACAUUCUAACUCCCAAGCAGCCACGGAGUGAGUCAUGAUCAAGCUGAGAUCUUUCGUUAUCUCCAAACCCAAGAAUGCCCGACCAUUGAGUCAUCACAUUUAUACAAACAUGAGCUAACUUGAGAAACAUAGUGUGGUUUCAGUCUAGAGAUGUUAAAAUGGGCCUGAAAGCCCGCGGGCUUUAACGAGCUGACCCGUGACCCAUUUAUCAUCACGUAGAAAUAACCGAGUUUAUAUGGGUUGGCCCUUUAUACCCGUUUUGUUAAUGGGCAUAUCCGUUAAAUAAAUUUGUGUCCGUUUAGGUCUAUUAUAGGUUUAUAAAAAAAUUACAAAUUUAUAUUUAGUAGGGGUUAUUGGUUGUUGUAUUUUAAUGGAUUUGAAAAUCCGAACUAAAUCUAGUGUUAUUGGUUCUAUAAUUUUCAAAUCUGUAUUAAAAUCAUGUGUUAUUGGUUUAAUGAUUCAUAAAUUCUGUAUCAAAUCAAGUGUUAUUCAAUCGUACGGAUUUACUAAUAUAUUUGAUUUUAUAAUGGAUUUGAAUGGAUUUGUUUGGAUUUUUUAGUUAAAAAUACAAAGACUCAAAUCCGAGGGAAAACCUCCGGAUUAAAUGCUUUCUGAAAUAUUGCCAACAUCUUUGAGUUUUGGUUUGAGCAAAGUUUGAAUCUUUUGUUCUUUGUUUCGUUGUUGUUGUUGUUGUGGUGGUGAGGAGAAAGUGUUGAUGUAGGAGACUAUUUAUACGGGGUGAUUCCACGUGAUGGUGACUAGGAUUAUUAGAUUUUAGAUAAGACCAUCUUCCGACAUGUCCGACGUGUUCUUAUCCGUUUAUUUUUUUUAAUGAUUCUAUUUUUACCAUUUUGUCAAAAGCUAGUCAAUUAACAACUUGAUUAAAUUCAAUAACUUGUAAGAUUGUCUAUCUUUGUAAUGAUACGAUCUUUUAACGUGCCACGUUAGAAAAAGUACUAAUUUCUUUUUCGCUAACGUUAUAUAAUUGUAGCAUUUUUUAUGGUUUCUGUAAUAUGUUAAUAACAUCUUUUGAUAUAAUAUAUUUCUGUCAAAUCUUGUGGUUCUAGUAGUGGUACAUUGAGAUAUUUAGUAUAAUGUUUUCUUUUAGCAUAAUGUGUUUUUAUUGGCAACUAGCAUUAUUUUAAGUUUUAAAUCAUCUCUUUUCUUUUGUCGUAGCUUUUUUUUUUUUGUGCAACACUGUUUUGUUGUAGCUCUUUUCAAUUUUGUUGUAUGAAAUUAUGUUUCUAUCUAAAACUGCUGUCAAAAAAAUAAUAUCUAAAACUAAUUGAUGUCACGAUGAAAAAGAAAACAAACUCAAAAUAAUAGAAUUCCCCAUUAUAAAAUAAGUAGAUAACAUUAUGAUAAAACGUGAGAUUUCUACUAAUUGCAUCCUUGAUAACUCCCCUUUCUUUUUUAUGUAUUUCGCCGUUGUAACGUUACCGACAUAAUUAAUUACGAAGGGAAAGUUAGAUCAACGUUAAUCAAUUUCUUGUGGAUGUAAGGUUGGAUCCUCGUCAUUCCCAUCAAUUACUCUUUGACUAUGCUCUUUGGAAUUUUCCUUUUUAACACAUCCAAAGAUUCCAAACAAGGAAUGUCUAUUGAUACACAGCAAUUAGGGCUACGAACCAAACCGAAAUGAUCUUCGACUACAAACAUCAAACAUCAACCGGUUUUGAUCCGGUUCAUACAAAAGCGAGCUAAUUUAUUUACCUAUCUUGGAUCAACAAUGUCAACUACGAGAACGGCCAUAAUUGAGAAACAUUCUAACUCCCAAGCAGCCACGGAGUGAGUCAUGAUCAAGCUGAGAUCUUUCGUUAUCUCCAAACCCAAGAAUGCCCGACCAUUGAGUCAUCACAUUUAUACAAACAUGAGCUAACUUGAGAAACAUAGUGUGGUUUCAGUCUAGAGAUGUUAAAAUGGGCCUGAAAGCCCGCGGGCUUUAACGAGCUGACCCGUGACCCAUUUAUCAUCACGUAGAAAUAACCGAGUUUAUAUGGGUUGGCCCUUUAUACCCGUUUUGUUAAUGGGCAUAUCCGUUAAAUAAAUUUGUGUCCGUUUAGGUCUAUUAUAGGUUUAUAAAAAAAUUACAAAUUUAUAUUUAGUAGGGGUUAUUGGUUGUUGUAUUUUAAUGGAUUUGAAAAUCCGAACUAAAUCUAGUGUUAUUGGUUCUAUAAUUUUCAAAUCUGUAUUAAAAUCAUGUGUUAUUGGUUUAAUGAUUCAUAAAUUCUGUAUCAAAUCAAGUGUUAUUCAAUCGUACGGAUUUACUAAUAUAUUUGAUUUUAUAAUGGAUUUGAAUGGAUUUGUUUGGAUUUUUUAGUUAAAAAUACAAAGACUCAAAUCCGAGGGAAAACCUCCGGAUUUGCGUAUUUUACUUGGAUUUAUAAAUACUAUAUGGAUUUCUAAAUCAAUCAAAAAUAUAUAAACCAAUAACACCUAAGGAUAUUUUUAAGAAAUUUAUAACUUUUAAAUUUUUUUUUUGAAACAAAAUAGUCAUAUUGUAUUUAGUUUGUGUGUUUUUAUUUUUGAAAAAGUUUUUAUUUUUGUUAUAAUUGUGUGUUUAAAACUUACUAUAACUUGGGUGAAUUGUUAUUUUUGAUCCAAGUCAUGCGAUUGAAAGUUAAAAGACUCUAAUGGAGUAUUGAAACAAUAACAAUAACAACGUCAUUACAUAAAACGUCAUAAUGGAUUAACAUGGUAAGAGAGAAAUAAUAACAAAUUUGUAUUUAAAAAAAACUGUAUGUAAAAAAUAAUAAUAAACGGACUCACGGAUCUAAAGAAACAUUUCCAUUUCCAUGUUAAACGAGUUCACAGUUAAAUGGGUUUUAACGGGUUCACAAUUAAAUGGGCAUACGGUUAACCCGCUUUAAACAAACAUGGUCUAAACAGGCCCGGGUAGUCCGCAUUAACAUUCCUAGUUCAGUCCCAGCCCAGAGCACUACUUUGUUCUGUUUUGAACAUUACUUGUGUUUGCUAGCGUUCCAAAUGAGAGCCUUUGUUCACCACUUUCUUCCCAUAACUUUUUUGUUGUUGUGUGUGCGCUUUCAUCAAGAAUACAAUAACCAAUAAUCACUAAGUAUUCCGUCCCACUAGUCCCUAAGCUGAGCAUAUCUCUUUGUAAUGAGCUUCCAAAACACAUUGCUAUAAAUCCUAGUGGUCCACCGACGAUUUUGGUAACCGACACUUUCUGUUUUUGGAAACCAUCAUUAUUUCCAACUACCCAUUUAUGACAUCCUCGAUUAUUGCACUAUGUAUUUCUUCUAUGGAGUGACCUCAUAGAUUUUCCAAAUUGGAAUCAUUUACCAUUGAUAUUCAAUUUUUUCGCUCUUUCCAAUUGAAUCUAGUCUCAGUUCAUACGAAUUUCAUACAUUCCACAGGUGGAUCGACGUCAUUCCCAUUCCAUUACAAUUCAUACCGGAAAUAUCUUUGGUACAGUCAUGGACUAACAAAAAAACAUCAAAGAGAUACAAAUCAUACAAAAGACACUAACCGGUUAACCCAAUCUCAAGCCGGUUCAUACAAACAAGCUUGUUUUAUUUUUACCUUUUGGAUCAACAAAGUCGGCUACGAGAACGGCCACAAUGAAGAAAGAUCUCGGUAGGUUCCAAGCAGCCACGGAGCGAGUCGUGACCAAGCUGAGCUCUUUCGUUAUCCCCAAACCCGAAUAUGCGACCACCUUGAGUCACCACAAUGGUGUGAUACAAACCUGUGCUUACUUGACACACACGGUGUUGUUUCAGACACUCCAACACUCUUGGCCUCAGGACUUUGUCUGAAACUCCUCUGUCAGGGAACCCUAGGCUUCCAAAUCCCAUCCACCCAAAACCAUACAACAAUCCACCUUCCACUAAUACAAAAGUUUUCCUCUUUCUUGCACACACCUGCAAGACAAUGUAGAGUCAUGAUCAGCAUAUCAGUUCCUGCUCAAGAACUCUUAGAAUACAGGAACAAUCGUUGUGCUUUACACGAAAGAAUCUGACCUGGACAGCGAGGCAGUUGUUGAGACUGACUAAAACUUGAGGAGUGAUCUUGUCGUUUUCAUCUCCAUGGCCUAGAGCACCACAGUAACCUUUACCCCAUGUGUAUACCUAAGGGUUCAAAGAACAAUCAAAACAAGAUUCUUCUGAUUUCUCAAAACCAAAUUGAGACAUAGAGAGAGAGAUGGAAACAAAGAGCUUACACGGCCAAUGGAAUCAAGUGCCACGGCGUGUUCAUCCCCUGCAGAGACACGGAGUAUAUGGAUACCUUUUCUUUUAAAAGCCUGAAUGACACGCGGCUGGUGCUCGUCCUGCUGCUCUCCAUGACCAAGACAGAAACUAGAUCCAGAGCCAAACGAGUAAACCGAGCCAUCUUGUGUUACAGCUAAAACAUAGCUCGGCCCCGUUGAGAUUUGCACCACAGGGCCAACGCUUUGAAGAAACUCAACAGCUUUGGGUACUGGUCUGUCCAAGGUAUCGCCAUGACCAAGCUGUCCGUGUGUGUUUGAUCCACAAGUAAAAACUCUACCUUCCCUUGAUAGAAACACAGUGAAGUGAAGCCCUGCAGCAACCUGGUACAGAAGAUGAGAUCAGGAAUGUUCUAUUAACUCAAUUUAGAUACAGUUGGUAUCAGUUUUUACCUGCUUACAAGGAGUUCCCUUCAAAGCCUCAACAAGCUUAGGCCUAAAUAUUGGGCGGCUUAUAUCUAAGUGACCACAGCAAUGCGAUGAAUUAUCCCCACAUGUGAGAACCUGUGCAGGUUUUCAAGUAAGCAUACAUACUCAAUAGGACAGAUUUUUAUAGAAAGAAGAAGCAACCAACCUCUCCAGAUUGCAACACAAAAGCAGAAUGGUUCUGUGUGGCAGAGACUUGAGCCACUUGAGCAGAGAAGGGGAAAACUACGAGAACGGCCAUAAUUGAGAAACAUUCUAACUCCCAAGCAGCCACGGAGUGAGUCAUGAUCAAGCUGAGAUCUUUCGUUAUCUCCAAACCCAAGAAUGCCCGACCAUUGAGUCAUCACAUUUAUACAAACAUGAGCUAACUUGAGAAACAUAGUGUGGUUUCAGUCUAGAGAUGUUAAAAUGGGCCUGAAAGCCCGCGGGCUUUAACGAGCUGACCCGUGACCCAUUUAUCAUCACGUAGAAAUAACCGAGUUUAUAUGGGUUGGCCCUUUAUACCCGUUUUGUUAAUGGGCAUAUCCGUUAAAUAAAUUUGUGUCCGUUUAGGUCUAUUAUAGGUUUAUAAAAAAAUUACAAAUUUAUAUUUAGUAGGGGUUAUUGGUUGUUGUAUUUUAAUGGAUUUGAAAAUCCGAACUAAAUCUAGUGUUAUUGGUUCUAUAAUUUUCAAAUCUGUAUUAAAAUCAUGUGUUAUUGGUUUAAUGAUUCAUAAAUUCUGUAUCAAAUCAAGUGUUAUUCAAUCGUACGGAUUUACUAAUAUAUUUGAUUUUAUAAUGGAUUUGAAUGGAUUUGUUUGGAUUUUUUAGUUAAAAAUACAAAGACUCAAAUCCGAGGGAAAACCUCCGGAUUUGCGUAUUUUACUUGGAUUUAUAAAUACUAUAUGGAUUUCUAAAUCAAUCAAAAAUAUAUAAACCAAUAACACCUAAGGAUAUUUUUAAGAAAUUUAUAACUUUUAAAUUUUUUUUUUGAAACAAAAUAGUCAUAUUGUAUUUAGUUUGUGUGUUUUUAUUUUUGAAAAAGUUUUUAUUUUUGUUAUAAUUGUGUGUUUAAAACUUACUAUAACUUGGGUGAAUUGUUAUUUUUGAUCCAAGUCAUGCGAUUGAAAGUUAAAAGACUCUAAUGGAGUAUUGAAACAAUAACAAUAACAACGUCAUUACAUAAAACGUCAUAAUGGAUUAACAUGGUAAGAGAGAAAUAAUAACAAAUUUGUAUUUAAAAAAAACUGUAUGUAAAAAAUAAUAAUAAACGGACUCACGGAUCUAAAGAAACAUUUCCAUUUCCAUGUUAAACGAGUUCACAGUUAAAUGGGUUUUAACGGGUUCACAAUUAAAUGGGCAUACGGUUAACCCGCUUUAAACAAACAUGGUCUAAACAGGCCCGGGUAGUCCGCAUUAACAUUCCUAGUUCAGUCCCAGCCCAGAGCACUACUUUGUUCUGUUUUGAACAUUACUUGUGUUUGCUAGCGUUCCAAAUGAGAGCCUUUGUUCACCACUUUCUUCCCAUAACUUUUUUGUUGUUGUGUGUGCGCUUUCAUCAAGAAUACAAUAACCAAUAAUCACUAAGUAUUCCGUCCCACUAGUCCCUAAGCUGAGCAUAUCUCUUUGUAAUGAGCUUCCAAAACACAUUGCUAUAAAUCCUAGUGGUCCACCGACGAUUUUGGUAACCGACACUUUCUGUUUUUGGAAACCAUCAUUAUUUCCAACUACCCAUUUAUGACAUCCUCGAUUAUUGCACUAUGUAUUUCUUCUAUGGAGUGACCUCAUAGAUUUUCCAAAUUGGAAUCAUUUACCAUUGAUAUUCAAUUUUUUCGCUCUUUCCAAUUGAAUCUAGUCUCAGUUCAUACGAAUUUCAUACAUUCCACAGGUGGAUCGACGUCAUUCCCAUUCCAUUACAAUUCAUACCGGAAAUAUCUUUGGUACAGUCAUGGACUAACAAAAAAACAUCAAAGAGAUACAAAUCAUACAAAAGACACUAACCGGUUAACCCAAUCUCAAGCCGGUUCAUACAAACAAGCUUGUUUUAUUUUUACCUUUUGGAUCAACAAAGUCGGCUACGAGAACGGCCACAAUGAAGAAAGAUCUCGGUAGGUUCCAAGCAGCCACGGAGCGAGUCGUGACCAAGCUGAGCUCUUUCGUUAUCCCCAAACCCGAAUAUGCGACCACCUUGAGUCACCACAAUGGUGUGAUACAAACCUGUGCUUACUUGACACACACGGUGUUGUUUCAGACACUCCAACACUCUUGGCCUCAGGACUUUGUCUGAAACUCCUCUGUCAGGGAACCCUAGGCUUCCAAAUCCCAUCCACCCAAAACCAUACAACAAUCCACCUUCCACUAAUACAAAAGUUUUCCUCUUUCUUGCACACACCUGCAAGACAAUGUAGAGUCAUGAUCAGCAUAUCAGUUCCUGCUCAAGAACUCUUAGAAUACAGGAACAAUCGUUGUGCUUUACACGAAAGAAUCUGACCUGGACAGCGAGGCAGUUGUUGAGACUGACUAAAACUUGAGGAGUGAUCUUGUCGUUUUCAUCUCCAUGGCCUAGAGCACCACAGUAACCUUUACCCCAUGUGUAUACCUAAGGGUUCAAAGAACAAUCAAAACAAGAUUCUUCUGAUUUCUCAAAACCAAAUUGAGACAUAGAGAGAGAGAUGGAAACAAAGAGCUUACACGGCCAAUGGAAUCAAGUGCCACGGCGUGUUCAUCCCCUGCAGAGACACGGAGUAUAUGGAUACCUUUUCUUUUAAAAGCCUGAAUGACACGCGGCUGGUGCUCGUCCUGCUGCUCUCCAUGACCAAGACAGAAACUAGAUCCAGAGCCAAACGAGUAAACCGAGCCAUCUUGUGUUACAGCUAAAACAUAGCUCGGCCCCGUUGAGAUUUGCACCACAGGGCCAACGCUUUGAAGAAACUCAACAGCUUUGGGUACUGGUCUGUCCAAGGUAUCGCCAUGACCAAGCUGUCCGUGUGUGUUUGAUCCACAAGUAAAAACUCUACCUUCCCUUGAUAGAAACACAGUGAAGUGAAGCCCUGCAGCAACCUGGUACAGAAGAUGAGAUCAGGAAUGUUCUAUUAACUCAAUUUAGAUACAGUUGGUAUCAGUUUUUACCUGCUUACAAGGAGUUCCCUUCAAAGCCUCAACAAGCUUAGGCCUAAAUAUUGGGCGGCUUAUAUCUAAGUGACCACAGCAAUGCGAUGAAUUAUCCCCACAUGUGAGAACCUGUGCAGGUUUUCAAGUAAGCAUACAUACUCAAUAGGACAGAUUUUUAUAGAAAGAAGAAGCAACCAACCUCUCCAGAUUGCAACACAAAAGCAGAAUGGUUCUGUGUGGCAGAGACUUGAGCCACUUGAGCAGAGAAGGGGAACUCCACAGGCGUAAACGCAACGCAUUGAGUAGUUUCUGGUCCAUGAGCAAGAACACCAGACAAACUUGACCCACAAGAGUAAACCUUUGAGUUGUUGAUUAGCAACGUGUGAUACCUUCCUGUUGUUACUUGCAUCUGCACAAAGCAUUAAAGAAAUGCAUUUGUAACUUCUAAAGCGUCCUAUUCUCUAUACCAGUUUCUCAACUAUCACUAAGCUACCUAAGACUACAUAGCAAAGAGAGAAGCAAAAUGAGAUCAUACAUUGCCUGCAGAGGUUUCAACCAUAUCCGAGGAUUGCUCAACAGACUGCAAGAACCUCAAAAGCCUCUUCCAGUUCCCCUCACAGUUAGCGAAAAGCUCCUUCUGCGUAGGCAAACCCAUUCCCACAUAGACAGGAUGCACAGAGCAAAGCUGAGACGCCGCGUAAUCAGCUAGCGACCUGAACUUCAAAGGGUACAAUCCAAAGCAGCUCCCUCCGAAGACCUUCUUCGAGGUCAGCUGUAAGCUGAGCAGAUCAAACGCAUUGAGCCUUCCAGAUGUCAACACCUCCAAGAUCAAAUGACAAGGAAGAUCCUCAAACGAAACAAUCCAGUUUCCGCCAGCCAUGAAUAUGAGAACAGAGAACGUAAAGGACGAGACUUUAUGAGAGGAACGAAAGGCUUAGAUUAUAAAGGACAGAUUUUGAGACGAAAUCUAGAGCAGUUGAAGUAGCGUAUGAAGAAGACGUUGGAUGGUAGGAAGAGAUAGGAGAUCGAAUAGGAGAAGGGAGUUUUAGAUGAGAGUUUCGCAAUUGGUCUAUUCGAAGAUCGAAAACUAAUCAUGAGAAGGGGUCAGAUCGCUAACGAAUCAAUCCCACCAGAUUUCUUCAGAAUUUUACCUGCAAAAAAAAAAAACAGAGUACCAAAACAGAGCAAUCCCUAAUUGAUUCGAUCGAGAAGAAGAAGAGUAAUGUGAAUGCGCGAGCGAGGAGCUUACCUGGAACGCAAAAGCUAUUGACUUUAUUGCCACUAAGAGCAACUCCAUCCAUUAGAACUCAUUAGGGGUUCUAAUGAUUAAAUUAGUAGGUUUAAAAGUGAUAUGAGAAGUUAAGAAUCUUGCCUAGUGGAAAUUAUUAUUUGUUUCUCCAAUGGGAGAACCCCAUAGGGGUUCUUAAAUAUUUUUUUAAUUUUUUUUAUUAGAAUGAUUUAAAAUAAAAAGAUACAUAAAAUUUGAAAUAAAAAUUACAUAAAAUAUAUGAAAAAUACAAAUACAAAUCGUAAACGUGAAAAAGCCGAUUACUCGAAAUCUUGAUUUCUUUCAAAUUUUUGCCAAAUAUGUUCAACCAAAUCAGCUUUCAAUUGUUGAUGUAUUGUAUUAUCACGAACUCGAUUCCGAAUGCUCAUCAUAUUUCCGAGAUUUGAAGGCAUAUCUGUAAAAUACAUGAAAUCCACUUGGGAACUUCGGUUUGAUUCCGGUUGUGCGAAAACUGAUACAUCAAACUGAGUGUACCCAUCUCGUUCGUCUUCUACAAUCAUAUUAUGUAGAAUGAUACAUGCUCUCAUGAUCUUGCCAAUUUUUAUUUUAUCCCACAAAAGAGCUGGAUUUUUGACUAUAGCAAAUCGAGCUUGCAAGACCCCAAAAGCACGCUCGACAUCUUUACGUACAGCUUCUUGAUGUGUAGCGAAUAAGGAUGCUUUCGGACCUUGAGGAAGUGGAAUUGAUUGGACAAAAGUAGCCCAUUUUGGAUAAAUACCAUCCGUGAGAUAGUAAGCCAAAUGGUACUCGUGUCCGUUGACAAUGUAAUUCACUUUUGGAGCUCGGCCUUGUAAUAUAUCAUCAAAAACUGGUGAUCGAUCAAGAACAUUAAUAUCGUUUAAAGUACCUGGAGGUCCGAAAAAUGCAUGCCAUAUCCAAAGAUCUUGUGAAGCUACAGCCUCUAAAACAAUGGUUGGCUUUCCUGAUCCACGUGUAUAUUGCCCUUUCCAUGCAGUCGGACAAUUCUUCCACUCCCAAUGCAUACAAUCAAUGCUUCCUAUCAUCCCGGGAAAUCCGCGUAUCUCUCCUAUAUCGAGUAGUCGUUGAAGAUCUUCUGGCGUGGGUCUUCUUAGAUACUCAUCUCCAAAUAAAUUUAUGAUUCCUUCAACAAAAUUUUCCAAGCAUAAAAGCGCGGUGGUCUCACCAAGUCGGAGGUAUUCGUCGACCGCAUCAGCUGGGCAACCAUAUGCCAUCAUACGAAUUGCUGCCGUUGCCUUUUGUAACGGAGAGUGACCGAACCUUCCAGUAGCAUCUCUUCUUUGUUGAAAGUAAGGGAUUUCAGCGGAGAGUCGAUCAACAAUACGCAUGAACAAGGGCUUGUUCAUUCGAAACCGGCGUCGAAACAGGUGAGAAGGAUAUGUUGCAUCUUCACUAAAAUAAUCGUUCCAUAAUUGCAUGUGUCCUUGUUCUCGUUGUCUUUCAAUGUAGGCUCGUUUCUUUUUUGACCUUGAUGCUUCUUGGCGAUUUUCAUGAUGAAUGAAGAGAUUUUGGAAUUCUUGAUCGAAAAUUUGAUCGGCUUUUUCAUCCAUUUCAUCAUCGAAAUUAGUAGAAGAAGAAGAUGCCAUUAUAAAAUUUUAAGAAAGAAAUGUGGAAAAUAUCUUGAUUAUUUGGAGAAGAAUAAGAAAGAAAGAACGGGUUUGUUUUUUUGGAGAAGACUAAGAAAGAAAGAAGGGUUUAUUUCGAGAAGAAUAAGAAAGAAAGAAGGGUUUUGAUUAUGAGAUAGUGUUGCUCUCUCUCGUGGUUGUACAAUAUAUAAAACAUCUAUGAAACAUGAAACAUCAAGUAUUGUCUUCUUGUGUCACAAGCAAUGUCACAACUCAUAAAGCUAGAAAAAAAAUUACAACAACACUCUGUUCUUUUGCUCACAUGCGUUGCCUUUUGUUCCUUCUUGUACUCUUCUUUUGCUUUUGGUGUCACAUGUAAUGACUUUGUUCCUUGCUCACAUGCGUUGCCUUCUGUUCUUUCUUGUACUCUUCUUUUGCUUUUGGUGUCACAUGUAAUGACUCUGUUCCUUGCUCACAUGCGUUGCCUUCUGUUCCUUCUUGUACUCUUCUGGUACACAAAAGCAAAAGCAACACAAUGUCACAUAGAUGUAUAUAUAAUAAACCGAAUCAACAAAGCAUUUGUUAAGGAAGAGAUUUGAUUAAACAUUAAUUAAGGAAGAGGACAAUGUUACAGACCCAAAGACAUGAAAUAAACUAAAACGAGGACAUGAAUCAACAGACCCAAAGACAUGAAACAAACUCAGACACAAAAGAAACCCGACAUGAAACAAACUAAAAAAAUCUAACUAAUUAGCCAACAUGUCAUUAAUAAGCUUAGUUUUCAAAGCAAUUUCAAGUUCAUCAAGAGGCUCUGUCUUGGCAAUGAGGCUCUCAAGCAAUUUUUGCUUGUUAACCUUAUCCCUCAAGGCAAAGUCCUUUUGCCUUAUGUCCCAAAAACUCUCAAACUCCUUCACCGGCUUCCCUUCCUCUUCGACAGUCCUUUUACCUUUUCCCUUUGCGGCUUUAACACCUAUAGGCCGAGCACUAACUUCAUCAUCUCCAUGGCUUACUGGAACAGAGGUUGAACUCUGUGCGGAUUGGUCAUCUAGCUUCCUUCUCUUGGACUGCACUUUAUCCUUAGUUGUUGAAGCUCCACACCAUUUUUGAUCAUGGCGAAGCUCCAACCAUGCAUGCUCCAUAGUGAAUUUCACUUUGUAAUCAUUGUAGAAAAUCUCAUGUGCCAUUCUCAUCACAUCAUUUUGACUCUGCCCACUUGAUUUCUCUUUCAUUGCAGCCUCAUAGCACCCUACAAACUUGCAGACACCCUCGUUAAUCUUCCCCCACCUCUGUUUGCAGUGAGUCGGCUCUCUCUUUUGCAAACCAGCGAGCUUGGGAGAUGCUGCAAAAUAAGCAGCAAUGCGUUUCCAAAAUGCAAUUGCCUUUUGCUCAUUCCCCACAACAGGGUCUUUCGAGGUGUUUAACCAAGCACUUAUCAAGACAAUGUCUUCUGCUGGUGUCCAUUUCCUUCUCUCCUUACGGUCGUCGAUAGUGUGACCAUCAGCAUUAGCACCUUCACCCCAUUGAGAACCGAAGACACACACGUUCGAGGCAGGGAGUUGUAUACCAGGUUGAAGGUUUGGUUGUUGAUUGUUUAAAAGGUCUAGAAAGCUAGAUUGACUAUAUGAAUCCAUAAGAUAGAGUUUGAGAAGGAGGUAGCAAAGGAGAAAGAUUUUAGUUGAUGAUAGUUUAAACGUGUUGUUUAGAUUUUAAAGACAAGUUUUAGAUUUUUUAGUUGUUGAAUUGGUUAUUACAGAGUUAAUGGCAAUCAAUUUUUUCACCUAAACCUAAAAGAGAGAGAAAACUAAAUGCAAAUCACGUCGACACAACUAACAAAUAGCAUUUCCCUUAACUCUAUUUAUUUCUCAACCUAAUCACACAACUAACAAAUAGCAUUAAAAGUUAAGUCUACUAACCUCUUGCCUUGUGUCUGAGUUUGUUCCCUUGUAAUAAAGAUGAUGUGAUUCCCUUCCCUUAUGCAACUGUAAAGAGAAAACGAAAAGAAAAUGUCAAACGAUGCCUAAACAAAUUCAAAUAAAGAAUUAGCCUUUAUGACAACUACACAGGAGACAUUGCAUUAUACUCAAGCAAACUAAACCCAACUUCUCAAAAAUAACCAUACACGAUACGCAUACAUCGUCUAGAAGGCUCUAACCAAAACUAACAAUCUCAAGAUCUUUUCAAUGGCACAACAAGCUUCAUGCUAGAUACUAGCAACAAAAAGGCUCUAACCAAAACUAACAAUCAUAGAAUCUGCAUCAAUGUAAUAAUCUAAUACCAAAAACUCCUUAAAUCGAGAAUCAUAAGCUUAGACAACCAAUUGUACAUACGAGCCAUUCCCGAUCGUAAUCAAUUUACACACCAAAAUCCUAAAACUAAUCGAUAUAAGAAGCAUAAUCAAAGUUCGAAAUCGGGUGAAGAAACAACCUUUAGUGAGCUAUAUGACGAGCUUCUUAGAAGGCUGGGGGAGAGUAGCUUUCUCGCGUGAGAGAUUGCCGGCAGAAGGAUCGUGGAGGCCGUUUUUGGCUUUCGUCACCGGCGGGGGAAGAGGAAGGGUUUCGUCAUCGGCGUUUCAGCUAUAUGACGAGCUUCUUAGAAGGCUGGGGGAGAGUAGCUUUCUCGCGUGAGAGAUUGCCGGCUGAAGGACUGUGGAGGCCGUUUUUGCCUUUCGUCAUCGGUGGGGGAAGAGGAGGAGCUUUCGUCAUCGGCGGGGGAGUGGAAGAGAAGGUUUUUGCCUUUCGUCAUCGGCGGGGGAAGAGGAGGGGCUUUCGUCAUCGGCGUUUGAGUGGAAGAGAAGAAGGAGAAGAAGGAGGAGGAUGCAUGUCCCAUUCCUCAUUGACCAUCCUCAAGGAUCUACUCAGAAUCGUCGGAGAAGAUGGAGGUUUGGAGAUUAGAGGAGAAAAGUUAAGAUUUUUCCUUUCGAUGAGGGAGAGGAGAGAGACAAUAAUGAGAGGUCGAAUAAGGAGACGCCACGUAAGGGGUGCUUAACACUUCCACAACUGUCUAAAUUAACAUCGGUUCUACUGUGUUAAAUGCUUUUUGAUUUAUUUUUUUUCCAAUUUUUUUUUAGAACCUCCAUAAACACCCGCCGAUGGAGGUGGUCUAAUCAAACAAAAUGAAGCCAAAAAGUCUAAAAGGAGCUUUUUUUUUUUAUAAGAGAAUGAUGAAAGACGUGUGAAGAUGAAUAGAAAAUUCAAUGUCUUGCUUCUUAAGCUUCUUCGUCUUUUGUGGCGAUGCUUCCUCUCUGUCGUGGAGAGAGUGAGUUUGCAGAAUCUUUUGGGGCUUUCAUUAGUCCUCGUCCUUUGCACUCUGUUAUUUGUUGUCGAGUUUGUGGUUGAGAAUCAGAAGCCACAUAAGACAGUUGAACAUGUUGCCAAAACUCUCAAGUUUAUGAGGUUAGCAUUUGACAAUGAGGUUGGAGAAAUCAAUAACCAACCAGUUUUGUAAAAGUCUUUUUUCUAUUGAAGUCACUGGAAACAAAAGCAAGAUCUCUUACACAAGUGGGUCUCAUCUCUCACCAAUAAGAAUCAAUUUGGUCACACAACACACAAAUGUUACAAACAGUGAAACAACAACAUAUAUGAAUAUAUUGCUAUGUUCAUGUUGUAGAAUUUACUAAACUGGAAUUCUGUCUUUCAGGUAGUUCAAAACCGCUUUUGUUCCUCUUUCUAGGAUUGGUCUCCGGAUGCUGUUUUCAAUAAUGUUGGUGAAAAGGGAAAAAAUAAAUCAAACUUGUUGUUUGUAUAAUGAAUGAAUUUGAGUUGAUUUUAAAUGGAUGGAAGAAAAUACCUUCUUAAUGGGUUCCCAUCAAGCCUUAGAACCUCAAGUGUUGGCUCAAGCAAACCCUAAGAAACAACACAUGAUUUUGUUAUCAGACAAUUUUAAUGCAAUUCCUAUGUUCCAGAUAGAAAGAAAGGCGGCUUACCAGUUCUGGAGGAAGACUUGAAAUGUUGUUGUUGGAUAUGUCCAGAUGUUUGAGUGAAGUCAUCUUCUUGAUAUCCUGAUUGAGAAAAAAAAAACUUCGGUUAAUUAGCUGACUGAUACAAUUUCCACUAAACCACAAAGUAGACAGCUUAUAGCAAACAUACCUUGGGAAUCGAUUGAAGUAAAUUCUGGCUCAGGUCAAGGAUAAGCAGGUUAGAUAAGUUGAGGAUAUCUUCAGGGACUUCAGACAGCUGGACUCGGCUGUCAAGUGAAGUAUCAUCUUAAACUAGACAACAUUAACUAAAUGGGCAAUGAAUAAUGUAACGUACAAAAACCAACCUCAAAUAAAGCUCUUGUAGUUGUGGCAAGAAGGAAAACUUGGGAUGCACUCCGGUGCCCAAGGAAGCUGGAUUACCACUUAGGUCGAGAAUCUGAAGCCCAGAGACUGUUUGAAACCCAUCCAGUGAAAUCUAAGAAGCAAAUGAAAAAAGUUAGGUGAUGGAUUAGCGUCUUCUAUUGUGGCAGCUAUAGUCAACUCUUUAAAUCUUUUCUCCACAAACAUCACCAACCUGUUUCAGGAGAUUGUUAUCUAACUUCAAGCACACAAGAGCAGGAAGUGACUUCAAGAUUUCACCGGGCCAGUCUUUAAUUUUGUUCCUUGACAAAAUCAAAGUCUGCAAAAUACAAAGAUAACAUGAAAUCUUUAGCAACACGACAUGUUUUAUAGCAAAGGCAUAUGUAGCAGAUGAAAUAGAAUUAGUGUUUGUGGAAAACACAGUUACCUGAAGGGAAGCAGAUGAAGAAAGCUGAGCAGGCAAUUCCUCGAUAGAGUUCUUAGAAAGAUUAACUUUCGUGAUUUCACCAGACUCCCAAACUUGUGAAGGGACAGCAGUCAAGUUGAGACCUUCCAGAGAAAGUUCCUGGAGUUGUGUGCAGCGUCAAUCGAUUAAGAUCAUGAAUUCCUGUUAUCUAUUACGAAUACGGAACUCUUGUUAGGAUGGUGCUGAGAUCUGUGAAUUCACUUACCUUUGUAGAUAUGGACAUACGCGCUGCUGAAGCAAUUACGUUUUCCUUGGACGGAGUGCUUGCACUAGUUUCUACAAAUGGCAACCUUAACAGUUAGUCACAACCUCUUAGAUGAGAGAGGGAGAGAGAGAGUGAUGGUGGACCAAAGUACCUUCACCAUUAGAUAGACGGCUCCUAAGAUACUUUAAUAGAGCAGCUGUAGGACCAUUUACUAACGUGCUGAAGAGUUAAAAAACGAAAGAAAUAUUGGUCUUUUGAAGUAGCAAUCAAACUAAGACCAAGGAAUCAAGAAACCAGACAGUGGGAGAGUUAAAAUUUACCUUCUAAGGGUUCUCAAAGGAUUGCCAACAAGCACAAGCUUUUUCAGAGUAGUCAUGUUUCCUACAAGAAAAGGAGAGAACAAGAAUCAUUAUGCUAAUUGCUAUUUUAAUGAUGUCAAAUGUAAAUUCAUUAACAAGCAGGGGAUGCAAAAAUGGCAAGUACCGAGCUCAGGAUGCAAUCCUGUCAAUGAAUUAUUUGAGAGAUCAAGGUACGAGAGCUUCAAUUUACAUCCUCCAACUGGAUAUUCCUUGAGCUGAAAAUCAGGAGAAAUCACAAGGGUGCAGGCCAUUAUUUAAAAGAUAGUGAUUGUCACUAUAUAAAGGAUUAUAUAAUGACAUAGAAUGUCAGAAAACAAGAAAUGAGCACAAUACCUGAUUAGAACGAAGAUCAAGUGUUCCUAGACGUGAUAGAUCUCCAAUCUCUGCUGGUAAUGUCGAUAGUGAGUUCAUUCUGGCAUAAAGUACAGAGAAGAGAAUGUCAGUAGUGAAAGUCUCUAAUUAGAUACCAUGUAGGACCAAACAAAUCUUUCUUAAGAAACAGUUAGUAGAGAAUGACCCCAAAUAGAACUCCACAAGAGAAGAGCAACCGCCUAUUGAUGGUGGGAUAGACGAGAUUUCUGCAUGAAUCGAAUAAGAAAACAACUCAGCAACUACAUAGAAGGAAUGAGUUACAGAAACGUUAUCUCCUCAGAUUUUACUUACUGUUCUGAUGAAGGUCAAGCCGGAUAAGACGUGAAAGGCUUCCGAUAUUUUGUGGCAGAUCAACCAACAUAUUCUUAGCUGCAGAGUGAAAAUAUAUUAACGUGUGUCCCCACAAUCUUUCAGUAUAUAAGAAAACGCAGAAUAAAAAACUGAAUAUCAUUACAUGCAUUAAGCUCUGUAAGCAUGGUCCACGAUGCUAUCUGUCUCUCAGAGAGCGCAGUGAGCUUGUUUCCCUGCAACAAGCAUAAAUUACAUUGGUACAUCAUCUAUCUAUGAAAACCAUUGCCUUCUCUUUCUUUCAGAAGGCUAUACUGCCCUUGGUUAUUCCAUACUUGUAUUCUAACUAUGUAUUUUCAAGAUUAAUAAAGUUCUAAUUUCGUCGGGAAAAAAAGUCGAAACUAUAAGUUAGAGAAAGAAAAAGACACCAAUCUCAUACCUCCACAUCCAGCUUGGAUAAUUUGGAACAGUUGGCCAUGUCUUCAUGCAAACUGGAAAUUUGAUUAUUUGAGGCCUGUGGAUUAUAGUGAAAGGACAACCAUUGCCAUGAAAAAUAUGAGAGAAAGUUAAAAAAAAAUCAACUGAUCCAAAAGCAACACAUAACAACCUUCAAAUCAGAUAAGUCUAAGCAUCUUCCAAGAGAUUCUGGAAGUUCUUUAAGCCGAUUGCUUGAACAGUCAAGCCUGAGGCAAUCACAAGAAAUUUAAAUCAAUUAUGAGCUGUGAAAGUUUAAUGAAUCCAGUGCCCUAUUCUAAUUCUAUGCCAGGAUUAACUUACUUGACAAGAGAAGUUGCAGAACUAAUUUGCUCAGGAAGUUCUGAGAUGGAGUUGAAGGACACAUCCAACGACUUCAUCGCCGUAAGCCUACGAAUGAGAGAGCAUUUGACCAUUUAUUACCAAAGUCAACAAAAUGGAAGUUAACAAGAAAGCUCCAAAAACACUCACUCCCCAAUGGCAGCAGGAAGUUGAGACAGUUUGUUGUGACUGACAUUUAACACAACCAAACAAGCAAGGUUCUUAAGAUCUUCUCUUAAAACCUCAAUUUCGUUAUGUGCCAAAAUAAGCUUCUGUAAAUCAACCGCCUGCAAUGUGCAAGAUGGAGGAAACUUAAAACAUUUCAAGAAGUGUGAUGAAAGAAGAAGAAUGCAUUAGUGAAAAAGGAUUUGAAUUGAUCACCUCCCACCAGUUUUCUCCUUCUCCGGUUGUUUCCAGACAUUGAUACACCUCUGUAGGUACCUCCCUGCAAAAUUGAAAUCACCCUCUCAAAUCAAAGACUUUGCAGCAGCUCAUAUAAAAUGGGAUGAUCUAGUGAGCACAAGUCGAUACAAGAUCUGAUUCUAAGCAAAACCUUUUGAAUUAUAAAAAAGUAUUUACAAGCAAAAAAAAAAAGAAAAAGAUUCAUCAUUUACUGGAGAUGCAUCUAGUUUUUCUUAAAUGAUUACAUACACAUUCCCCGAUUAAAAGAUAAUAUUCACAUUCUAUCCAAUUUCGAAAACUUAAAAGAAAAAGAAAAAAAACAAUGGAAGCUAGUGGAUCUAACCGGAGAGAUCGAUUGGAAAGGUUGAGCGAACCGGAUGUUCGAGCUGCCUUCAGAAUCCGAUCCAUUGCCAGACACAAACACUCUCUGUGCCUGUUCUUCUUCGUCUCCUUCUCUAAUCGCUUUAUGAACAAAGAUGUUGAACGGCGUCGUUUCGAGAAUACGCUUUUUUUUUUAUCAAUCGAGAAUGCGCUUUAAUAAAAAAAAAUUCACAAUUUAAUUCGUAUUUUUUUAUAUUAUAAUACAGCUUGACUGGGUCGGGUCUAUGGGCCGGCCUAUUAAACCAGAGAGACGAUCAAAAUAUUGAACAAAAAGUUAUGCGAGUACGUGAAGCCAAGUCUUCUUUUCUUGUGCUCUUUCUACCGUCUUUUUUGCUAUCGUUACUGUAACCAGGUUCUGGUCCGCGCUAUACGCGGAUAAUGUUUCAAUAUCUUUUUUGGAAAUAGAGAUUAUAUUUUAAAAUUCUGGUGUUUCAAUCGAUUAGAGGUGGAAACUAUUAUAAUUUAAUAUUAAAAUUAUUUUUAAGUUGAUAAAUAAAAAGAAAAAAUUACUAAAGAGUGAUGUUUUAAUUAAGAAUUUUUUUAGUUUUCUACUUUUCUUUGUUAUUAGUUUUUAUUUACAACAAUCUUUAAAAAUUGUUACAUUGUUUUCAUAUAUUAUGUUUUCUAAAAACAUCACAUUAGGAAUAGUAUAUUUUAAAAGUGUAACAGAUGAACUGUUCCAUUUUUUGAUUCAAAGUUGUUCAUAUAUAUAUAUUGAAAUAAUAUAAAGUUUAAGUGUAUAUUUGUAUGUCAUAUAUGCCAUUUAGUGUAGCCAUAGUGAUUUUUAUUGUUUUAUUGUUUUGGUUUAUUUUUAUUAUACGCUUUAACUUUUCUUAAAAUAUUUUAAUAUGUUCUAAUUGAGAGUUGUUAAUGAUAGACCAUAUUGAUUUGAAAUAUUUCUAUCAAAACUGAUUAUAUAUAUAUAUAUAUAUAUAAUAUUUAAUAUUUUAGUAAUGUGUACAUAUAAAAGAAGUUAUCAUAUGUAUUUUAACUAACUUAAUUUUUUUGAACAGAAUGAUUAGUACUCUUAACUAUUACUCCCUCUGCUUCCGAAAGAAUGAUAUUCUAGAGUAUUCACGCAUAUUAAGAAAAAAAUUAACUUUUUACAAUUGAAUUUAUUAUUUAUUUUACUAUACAUUUUCUAAUAAAUAUCAACCAAUAGUAUUCAACCAAUUCAAAUAUUUUCAAUUAAUGUUUGUUAAAAGUAUACAACUUUUCAACAUUAACUACUAAAAGUACCUUAAUUUUUUUUGAAAAUCUAUCAUUUUAGAACAAAAAAUAAUCUAGAAAAUCCUACUUUCAGGAACAGAGAGAGUAUAUUUCUUUAUGUAGCAUAUUUGUAGUUUCUAUUAGUGAUUUUUUUAUUUGGUUUCCAUAACAUGUACUCUUUGGUAGAAUUCAUUGAGUUAGUAGAACUUAGUUUUUGGUUGGUAUUUGUAGAUUUUUAUGAAACUAAUCAGUGCUCUUACUGUUUUUUUCGUUUAAUAGUUUUUAGUUGUAUACUCCAGUAUAUUUCUAUAUGUAGUAACUAUUUUUUAAAUAAUGAGGAUACAUAACGAUUAAAAGGUUAUAUCAGCUAAUCACCUAUUCAAAAGAAUGAUUAAAAGUUAAAAACUUGACAUAGCUUUUUGAAGGUAAUGGAUAUUUGUGUUUCUGAUUUGUUUCUAUAGAAGUUGUUUUUACUUGGUUGAUGUUAACUUUCUAAUGAGUUAGUAUUGAUAUCGAUUUAAUUUUAACAAAGCUUAUUUUGAACUAAAAUAUGUAGCUAUAUUUUCUUAUUUGGUGUAUUUGAAGCGUAUGAUUUUAUAAAUAAAAAUGAGUAUGCUUAAUAUAAUGAUUACUCGAGUCAUUUACAAUGUAAAUUUUAAAUUGUAGUUUUAAAAUUACCUUUUUACUUUAAAAUUGGCAUAUAAUAAAAAUUUAGAGCAUAUGAAUUUUCUCUUAAGAUACAAAAAAUUGUAAAAUGAAUUAUUUCAUUUUAUUAAAUUAAAAGGUAAUUUGAUCUUCUGUGUGUUAUUCUUAUUUGCCUAUUUAAAAAAAAACUAUUAUAAGAAAAAAAACAAUGGAAGCUAGUGGAUCUAACCGGAGAGAUCGAUUGGAAAGGUUGAGCGAACCGGAUGUUCGAGCUGCCUUCAGAAUCCGAUCCAUUGCCAGACACAAACACUCUCUGUGCCUGUUCUUCUUCGUCUCCUUCUCUAAUCGCUUUAUGAACAAAGAUGUUGAACGGCGUCGUUUCGAGAAUACGCUUUUUUUUUUAUCAAUCGAGAAUGCGCUUUAAUAAAAAAAAAUUCACAAUUUAAUUCGUAUUUUUUUAUAUUAUAAUACAGCUUGACUGGGUCGGGUCUAUGGGCCGGCCUAUUAAACCAGAGAGACGAUCAAAAUAUUGAACAAAAAGUUAUGCGAGUACGUGAAGCCAAGUCUUCUUUUCUUGUGCUCUUUCUACCGUCUUUUUUGCUAUCGUUACUGUAACCAGGUUCUGGUCCGCGCUAUACGCGGAUAAUGUUUCAAUAUCUUUUUUGGAAAUAGAGAUUAUAUUUUAAAAUUCUGGUGUUUCAAUCGAUUAGAGGUGGAAACUAUUAUAAUUUAAUAUUAAAAUUAUUUUUAAGUUGAUAAAUAAAAAGAAAAAAUUACUAAAGAGUGAUGUUUUAAUUAAGAAUUUUUUUAGUUUUCUACUUUUCUUUGUUAUUAGUUUUUAUUUACAACAAUCUUUAAAAAUUGUUACAUUGUUUUCAUAUAUUAUGUUUUCUAAAAACAUCACAUUAGGAAUAGUAUAUUUUAAAAGUGUAACAGAUGAACUGUUCCAUUUUUUGAUUCAAAGUUGUUCAUAUAUAUAUAUUGAAAUAAUAUAAAGUUUAAGUGUAUAUUUGUAUGUCAUAUAUGCCAUUUAGUGUAGCCAUAGUGAUUUUUAUUGUUUUAUUGUUUUGGUUUAUUUUUAUUAUACGCUUUAACUUUUCUUAAAAUAUUUUAAUAUGUUCUAAUUGAGAGUUGUUAAUGAUAGACCAUAUUGAUUUGAAAUAUUUCUAUCAAAACUGAUUAUAUAUAUAUAUAUAUAUAUAAUAUUUAAUAUUUUAGUAAUGUGUACAUAUAAAAGAAGUUAUCAUAUGUAUUUUAACUAACUUAAUUUUUUUGAACAGAAUGAUUAGUACUCUUAACUAUUACUCCCUCUGCUUCCGAAAGAAUGAUAUUCUAGAGUAUUCACGCAUAUUAAGAAAAAAAUUAACUUUUUACAAUUGAAUUUAUUAUUUAUUUUACUAUACAUUUUCUAAUAAAUAUCAACCAAUAGUAUUCAACCAAUUCAAAUAUUUUCAAUUAAUGUUUGUUAAAAGUAUACAACUUUUCAACAUUAACUACUAAAAGUACCUUAAUUUUUUUUGAAAAUCUAUCAUUUUAGAACAAAAAAUAAUCUAGAAAAUCCUACUUUCAGGAACAGAGAGAGUAUAUUUCUUUAUGUAGCAUAUUUGUAGUUUCUAUUAGUGAUUUUUUUAUUUGGUUUCCAUAACAUGUACUCUUUGGUAGAAUUCAUUGAGUUAGUAGAACUUAGUUUUUGGUUGGUAUUUGUAGAUUUUUAUGAAACUAAUCAGUGCUCUUACUGUUUUUUUCGUUUAAUAGUUUUUAGUUGUAUACUCCAGUAUAUUUCUAUAUGUAGUAACUAUUUUUUAAAUAAUGAGGAUACAUAACGAUUAAAAGGUUAUAUCAGCUAAUCACCUAUUCAAAAGAAUGAUUAAAAGUUAAAAACUUGACAUAGCUUUUUGAAGGUAAUGGAUAUUUGUGUUUCUGAUUUGUUUCUAUAGAAGUUGUUUUUACUUGGUUGAUGUUAACUUUCUAAUGAGUUAGUAUUGAUAUCGAUUUAAUUUUAACAAAGCUUAUUUUGAACUAAAAUAUGUAGCUAUAUUUUCUUAUUUGGUGUAUUUGAAGCGUAUGAUUUUAUAAAUAAAAAUGAGUAUGCUUAAUAUAAUGAUUACUCGAGUCAUUUACAAUGUACAUUUUAAAUUGUAGUUUUAAAAUUACCCUUUUACUUUAAAGUUGACAUAUAAUAUAAAUUUAGAACAUAUGAAUUUUCUUUUAAGAUACAAAAAAUUGUAAAAUGAAUUAUUUCAUUUUAUUAAAUUAAAAGGUAAUUUGAUCUUCUGUGUGUUAUUCUUAUUUGCCUAUUUAAAAAAAAACUAUUAUAAUUUGAUGGAAAACAAUACAAUUUAAAAAUACAUAAAUAGUUAUAUAAACAGAUUAUAGAUACAAAUAUAAGAGAAUUAUAGAUAUUAACUUUAUUUGUUUGAGAAGCUAACAACUGAAACAUUAGAUUUUUUUUUUGCAUAUUUUUUAAAGUAUAUCUCAUAUAUUUACCAAAUUCAGAGUGUUGCAAACAUAAAUAACAAAAUAUUUGAAAACGAAAGCUUAAAUUCGUAUAUUGUUGCAAUCAAAAUCUCUGAAUGUUUUUCUUUCUCCUCCGCCAGCAAAAAAAACAAAAAUACAAAAACAGAGUUCGGUCUUUAUGACACCUCAAAUGUCCAAGCACAACCUUCCACUAAGAAAAUAUUCUUCCACAUGUUGUUACAAACCGGUGGUGCUUUUGAUGGAUUAGUAACCCUUGAAGGUUUUUUCUUACAUUUUUGUGCUUCUAAUCCUUUACCCAGCCACCUGCUUUGUCAUUAAUCUCCACGUUCCUCAGUCUUGUUGCUUUCUUUUUCUUCUUACCAUCACUCUUGUCUUUUACAACCACUGCCUCUGCCGCAGCCACAACCAACUCUGCUGAAACAGAUAAUUUUUUUUUUUAAAUAAUCACUCAGCAAAGAUGAAUCUGAUACAAACAAAUACUUGUGACAUGAACAAAAUCGUCUAGCAAUCACACCCACAUUGCAUUUCAAAAUGCACCUUCAAAGAUAGAUUAGUCAUAGGAAUAAUGCUAAUGAGAAGAUCAAAUAGAUAAACACUCAAUUAGAAGUCGUAAAACUUCCACAAAUAAAUGAUCAAACAUAGAAAUUAAAAAUUAACCUACGAGCAAGGAAGAUGCAUUCUUUACCUCAAAAUUUCUGAAGAGCAUUAAUUUAGAUGACACCCUUGUGUUCAAGCUUUCGGUUCCCUCAGCUGUGGCCAAUACUCCAGCCAUAGUGGUUUCUGAGAUGUCACUCAGUUCUCUGACUAAGAGCAUCGCCCGAGCUCCUGGUGUACACUAGAUGAAUCUGAUUUAAUAUUACUAUAUAUACUCAUAAGACUUAUCGAACAUAUGUAGAAUAGCAUAAGCAGUUACCUUAUAGACUUCUCAAGCAGUGGGUCACCUUCAACAAUAUUAUGGUAAGACUUUGUCAAGACAUGUUAUGGUAAGACUUUGUCAAAACUGUGUACUUAAAAUAAGUAUUCGAGUCAAAGGAUAACUCAAUUUUGAAUCCUUUAGGCUCUUCAGUUAUGCACCAUCUAAGUGAUUUGAGAGCCUAAUCAGUAAUCACGCUCUGUGGCCUGACAUCAAGGACAUUACGCUAGAGUUAUUGUCCUCAGAAGUGGUAUCAUUGUUGUUCAAGGCCAUCAGCCAAAAACGUGGAACUCCUUUCUCUGCAAUGUGUAACACAUGGAAACAUGUUAGAUCGUUUUUUUCUUUUAUAUAUUUAAGGGAAAAAAAGACACAGUAUUCCUCAAGUUACCAUCUUGAGUAUCUUCCUCUCCUUGGUCCAUCAUCCAUCUUCGUAUCAUCUGGAGUUGGUUUGACAUCAGUAGUUCCAUUCACUGUCUCGUAAGGCUGCGCAUACCGAGACAGAAUUCAAGAGAAAGUUUAAGAUUAUAUAUAUAUAUAUAUAUAUAUAACACUGCUGCUGAUAAGUAAGAUAAGGAAAAUAAAAAAAUAGAAUAUACAGAGAUGCUCAUGGUUUUCCAUUGCUUAGAUAUAUUGGUUUUGAAUUUAACAGAUGAAAAUAACACGGUCCCACAUAAAACUUUGAAUUUCUUACUAACAAUUACCUUGAUAUACAAAGCUUGAUAUAUCUUUUCAUACUUGGCUUCAAGAACAACACAAUCAUGAGAUAUAUCCAUGUGUUAAUGCAAUUAGUUUGGGGUUUUGAUUCUUGAAUAGGGAUAAUAUAGGAAUAGAAAAUAGAAUCACUACCUAUUUGUAGAUGAGCCGCAUCUCUACAGCAAUCAGACACUUCCGCCUGCCGUGUGCAAUCUCCCGAAAAUGGAUGUGGUUGAAGAUGAUUUUGGUCUCUCCCUACCCGUAGCAACGUCGUUAAAGACCACAAUGGAGGGUUUUGUCGUCGUUGAUUUUGAUGUCUUGUUAGCCAUGGAUGCGAUAGCUGAUACUUAUUCUUGUAUGCGGAGUGAAUUUUAUUGUGGGAAGCUCAAGAAGGUGAAGAGGACAUCUGUUUGGUACUGGAAAAUUAAUGAAGGAAGAUUGAUGAUUAUUGUGGGAGAAAGCGUUUCGCCAGAGAUCGCUAAAACUGUUGUCGUUAGGUCUUCUUUUGGGAAGGCGGAGAAAACAGAGAAUUUGGGUCACUUAACGGGUACAGUGAGUCUAAGCUGAGCUUCGACAUAUUUUUUAGGAAAUUCACAUCUAGUAAAAAUUAUAGAUUUAGUUAAUUGACAUUCUGAUGUGUAACAUUGAUUGGCUCUAAAUAUUUUAGGUGACGUGGCAUAGCUUAGGAACCUCCAAUUUAGUUCCUUUUAUAUAGUAGAGAUGAUGAUUCCGAGAAUGAUUGAUCAUCAUGACCAUGGCAGAGCGAUGAUUAUGUCACACUAUAUAUAUCAAUAGUAGGCAAUUCAAUUACAGUUCCAGUUGCCGGCUUCUUUACUAUUUCUGGUCUUAAUGAAAGUUCAUUUAUUUAAAACUUUGUGUUGGUAAUGUUGGAUUAUUCAACUUAAUGUGACGCUUUUAUCAAACCAAAAUAUGACAUAUAUCCUUAUGAGUGAGAUUAUAUUAUCUUUUGUGUUUCUAUGGACACUGAAAGCUUAGACGAGCAUCUCGUUUGAAGUGGGUGCAAGAGCUUCUUCAGCCACGGUUCCUUUGUCUGACAUGUGCUUGUCUUGUCCUGAAACGAAAGGUGCACAAUGGGAACAGCUUGGUGGUUGUUGGUAUAUAGGAGGGCGGUAAUAAGGUACGCUUGGGGUGCAACCACCGGUUUGGCAUCCCCCGGAACCAUAACCAGGAUUAACCCUGACCCCUGGAAUCACAAAACCGGGAAUCUGUGUGCCUGGAACCGUUAUGGGAGGGAUUGAUAUGCUUGGGACAACUACACUUGGUACACUACCACUAGAGCCACCUCCUAUACCGAUACCAAUCCCUUCUCCUGAACCACUACCUUGUCCAAUGCCUUCACCGUAUCCACUACCUGGAGCUCCAAAGACAGGACCACAGUUCGGUUGGCCAGACCCGGAUCCUCUUCCUUCUCCAUAGCCACUGCCUCCACUGGAGCCAAUGCCUUCUCCAUAUCCACUGCCUCCGCUUGAGCCAAUGCCUUCUCCAUAUCCACCGCCACUUCCAUAGCCCCUACCUUCACCAUACCCCAUAGGCUUAACUGUUUGGUCAGGAUCUUCUGGUUCACUCGCCAGGGACUGCACUUUAUGAUCAGGCUUUUCUUUGUGAUCGAGCAUAGUUUUAGGAUCAGGUUCUUCUAGCUCACCCCACAUGGGUUGCAGUUCAUGAUCAGGCAUGACCUUGUCCUCAGGCUCCUCUGGUUCACCUGGCAUGGACCGCAGCAUAUGGUCAGGCAUGAUCUUGUCCUCAGGCUCCUCUGGUUCACCCGGCAUGGACCGCAGCAUAUGAUCAGGCAUGAUCUUGUCCUCAGGCUCCUCUGGUUCACCUGGCAUGGAGUGCAUUUUGCGAUCAGGCAUGAUCUUGUCCUCAGGCUCUUCCGGUUCACCCGGCAUGGACUGGAGUCUAUGAUCAGGCAUGAUCUUGUCCUCAGGCUCCUCUGGUUCACCCGGCAUGGACCGCAGCAUAUGAUCAGGCAUGAUCUUGUCCUCAGGCUCCUCUGGUUCACCUGGCAUGGAUUGCAUUUUGCGAUCAGGCAUGAUCUUGUCAUCAGGCUCUUCCGGUUCACCCGGCAUGGACUGGAGUUUAUAAUCAGGCAUGAUCUUGUCCUCAGGUUCUUCUGGUUCACCCGGCAUGGACUGGAGUUUAUGAUCAGGCAUGAUCUUGUCCUCAGGCUCCUCUGGUUCACCCGGCAUGGACUGCAGCAUAUGGUCAGGCAUGAUCUUGUCCUCAGGCUCUUCUGGUUCACCCGGCAUCGACUGGAGUUUAUGAUCAGGCAUGAUCUUGUCCUCAGGCUCCUCUGGUUCACCCGGCAUGGAUUGCAUUUUGCAAUCAGGCAUGAUCUUGUCCUCAGGCUCUUCCGGUUCACCCGGCAUGGACUGCAGCUUAUGGUCAGGCUUCACUUUGUGCUCAGAUUCUACAUUGAACAUCUCAUGAUCUUGCACGCUCAAACUAACCAUCCCAGGCUUCACAACAUGGUUCAUCUCUAGCUUUCUUGCCUCCAUCAUUGAGAGAUCCUUGAGAACCCUGCGUGCCAAAGUUGAACUAAAGAAGCAUAGUAAGAGAACGAAUCCAAAGCAUCUGCCUUGGUGUCCCUUUG
This 40635-nucleotide long non-coding RNA is filed under the name Brassica napus (rape). RNAcentral's name for it is "long non-coding RNA (BNAP_LNC017887)". The record is from RNAcentral. Lineage: Eukaryota; Viridiplantae; Streptophyta; Magnoliopsida; Brassicales; Brassicaceae.